GGAGGGCGUGCCGACGGUCGGCGCGCGGUUUCGAACACCGCCACACGGUAACCAUCCCGGGGGUUCAACUCCUCCGCCCUCCG
This 83-nucleotide transfer RNA is filed under the name Actinomycetota bacterium. Its description in RNAcentral is "tRNA-Ser". Lineage: Bacteria; Bacillati; Actinomycetota. The record is from RNAcentral.